GCCUGGUUAGCUCAGUGGGUUAGAGUGUGGUGCUGAUAACACCAAGGUUGCAGGUUCGAUCCCCGUUCAGUCC
This is a non-coding RNA of Apaloderma vittatum (bar-tailed trogon), 73 nucleotides long. NCBI's taxonomy places the organism in Eukaryota, Metazoa, Chordata, Aves, Trogoniformes, Trogonidae. The record is from Rfam.